ACUACCAGUCUCUUACACUCAUAGAUUUCAAGUGUCUGCAAGGAUUGAAGGAUGGUUGGCAACCUUCCCAGCAAUAAAGGACAUUUUCUGAUUGAAAGAAAACGAAGGCUGGGGAAUUUCGAUACUUGCUCAUCAUCUUCACAUAGGUCCCACUCCUCCCAAUUCAGCAUAUUGCCAAAACGCAGAGACUCUAAUGAUGCAAAAGCAUUUGAUUGAUUUUCUCCAAACAACUCAGCACCAAUCUUGUGUACUUGAUCCAAACCACUAAUUGAAAGAUCUUUUAACAACAACAACCUUCCAAUCGAUGGUAGAGAUUUGCAAUUUUUACAGUCGUGAAGCUCCAAUGACAACAUAUUCUUGAAGGAAGGAUCUGCAAUCCAAGUAGAGAAUUUUGCACCACCAUAAUUCUGAAUGACGAGUUGCUCAAGCUUUUUUGGAGGUCGAAGAGAGUCCAACACCCAUUCUUCAACUUCUUUAUUCCUUGAAGCCUUUUCAAACUUUUCACUCCAAUGCAAUACCAAUCGAUGAAUCCCCUGCUUCUCAUUUAACUUGGCUUCCCCUGCAUCUUCACCAUUAACAUUCUCCAACCCAGAAAGAUGGAAAUCACCUUCGAGGUUUGACAAAUAUUUCAAAUAUCUAAUAUGACAAUCAUCACCUUCCGCUAUGAUAAAAUCAGAUAACCUUUUGUUGGUGCAAAGAGGCAGCAACAGACUGUUUUGGUCUUGCUUGGAUAGCAAGCCUCGAGCCUUGCUGAAGAAACAAACUCAGAAAACAAUGCAGAAAAUGAAACUAGCUAGUGAAGAACAAAAAAUAGAGAAAGAUUGAAUGAAAGUGAGCUGAUAUUUUUCAUUAACAUUCAAACAAGGCUUUAAGCCAUUACAUAUAUUAGUCAACAAGUAAAACAAACAAGUAAUCACCUAAUCAAUUACCUAACACCACUAAUUUGCAUUGAAACGUACAAGAUUAGCUUGUACAACUUGCAUUGCUGAUUUUUCAAUCAAUCAAUACCAAAACAUUUACCUACUUAGUUCAACAUGAACUAAAUUACAAAAUAAUCAAAAAACAACCAAAAUCACCAAGUGGAUCGGCAACAUUAAGCUUCAGGCUUCAGACCAAGGCUCGAAUGCCUGCAACGUAUUCUUCUGCAUGGCCACCUUUGCAUGGGAAGCUGGUUGCAUGGAAACUAACUUUAACACUCCUCCUUAGUUUCUAUGCUGGUUACGCCUAGCUUCCCUUUUAAUUUCAUAAACCUUGACACAUUGAGUGCCUUGGUAAAAAUGUCUGCAAUUUGCUCCUCCGAAUUGCAAUGAACCAGCUCGAUUUUCUCCAGCUUGUUCCAUCUCCCUUAUAACAUGUAAUUUGAUAUUGAAGUGCUUGGUUCUGCCAUGGAAGAUGGGAUUCUUUGCAAUUGCAACAGCAGAUUUGUUGUCACAGUAAAUCUCUGUUGCUUCAUCUUGGUUUUGGUUUAAAUCAGCCAAGAUUUUUCUAAGCCAUAUGGCUUGAUUCACAGCAGAUGCAGCAGCAACAUAUUCAGCUUCUGCUGUUGAUUGUGCUACCAGACUUUGUUUCUUUGAACUCCAGCAAAACAUGCCUGAGCCAAGACUAAAUGAGUAUCCAGAUGUGCUUCUCAUGUCAUCACUCGAUCCAGCCCAAUCACUAUCGACAUAUCCUACUAACUUCAUGUUUUCAACCCUUUUGAACAUUACACCAUGAUUAGUGGUGCCUUUGAUGUAUCUUAGCACCCUUUUUGCUGCUUGAAAGUGCAGAUCUUUGCAGCAAUUCAUGUAUCUGGAAAGCACACUAACUGCAAACAUAAUGUCGGGCCUUGUUGCAGUCAAAUACAAUAGACUACCAAUGAGACUCUUGUACAUAGUCUCACAAACUGGUUCACCAGUUUCAUACCUUGAUAGCUUCAUUCCAACAGCCAUUGGUGUGCUUGUUGGCUUGCAAUUCUUCAUUGAGAACUUGUUUAAGACCUUCAUAGCAAAAGAACUCUGGCUGAGAAAGAUUCCAGUUGAAUUUUGUCUUACUUCCAUUCCUAGAAAGUAAUUCAUUUUGCAUAGAUCAGACAUCUCAAACAUUUUCAUCAUUUUCUUCUUGAAAUCAUGCAGCAUAUUUUUGUCUCCUCCAGUUACUAACAUAUCAUCAACAUAGAGUGACAAGAUAAGCUGAGUCUCAGCUUGAUUUUUCUUCACAUACAAAGUUGGUUCACUGGCACUUCUUUCGAAUUCCAAACUGAGCAAGUAGGAAUCGAUUCGAGCAUACCAGGCUCGAGGAGCUUGUUUCAGGCCAUACAAGGCCUUUUUUAACCUGUAGACCAUGUGUUCUUUACCAGUGACUACAAACCCUUGAGGCUGCUCGAUGUAGAUUUCUUCUUCCAGGAAACCAUUGAGAAAUGCAGACUUAACAUCAAGCUGAUGAAUGGUCCACUGAUUUUGAGCAGCCAAAGCAACUAUCAUUCUGACAGUGUCAAGUCUGGCUACUGGUGCAAAGGUCUCCAAGUAGUCCAAACCAUACCUUUGGCUAAAACCUUUGACAACAAGCCUAACUUUCAGCUUGUUAAGACUGCCAUCUGCAUUUUGUUUAGCUCGAUAGACCCACUUCACUCCAAUGGCCUUCUUUCCAGCAGGCUUAUCAACCAACUCCCAUGUUUGGUUCUUCUGUAUCAUGUUGAUUUCAUCAACCAUAGCCUGCUUCCAGCCUUCAUCAGACUCGGCCUCUUCAAAACUGGUUGGUUCUGCUAUAGCAAUCUGUGCUCUUUCAUAAAUUUCAUCCAAGGGCCUUGUUCCUCUCACAGGCACAUCAUCAACAUCCAUUUCAGGUCCUAGCUGCUCAAACUCAGCUUGAUUAGGCACCAGGUCUUCUGAAACUACUUCUGGUUCAUUUUUCUCCCAAUUCCAGCAGGCUUUUUCAUCAAAGAUGACAUCUCUACUCACCUGAACUUUGUUUGUCAAGGGAUCCAGAACCCUGUAGCCCUUCUUGAAUGAGUUAUAGCCUAUUAGAACACCUGGUUGAGCCCUUUCAGAGAGCUUGUCUCUCUUUGCUGCUGGUAUUUGUGCAUAGCACAGGCAACCAAACACCUUCAGGUGUGCCAAAGAAGGCUUGAAACCGAACCAAGCCUCGAAAGGUGUCUUGGAUGCAAGGACUUUGGUAGGGAGCCUAUUCUGAAGGUAAACAGCAGUGUUUACUGCCUCAGCCCACAUGGUCUUGGGCAGUUUCUUCUCAAACAGAAGACAUCUUGCCAUAUCCAUCAGACUUCUGUUCUUUCUUUCAGCUACCCCAUUCUGCUGAGGUGUGUAGACAUUUGUAAGCUGGUGUUUGAUACCAGCAUCAUUGCAAAUGGCUUGAAACUGAACUGAAGUGUACUCAGUGCCAUUGUCUGUCCUUAUUGAUUUCAGCUUGCAACCUGUUUCUGUCUCUUCAGCAGUUUUAAACUUCACAAACACUUGAGCUACCUCAGACUUGUGUUUCAGAAAGAAAAUCCAGCAAAACCUUGUAAAAUCAUCAAUGAAUAGGAUGAAAUACCUAUUAUUGCUGAGUGAUUCAGUCCUCAUAGGUCCACAUACAUCAGAGUGCACCAGCUGUAAUUUUUCAGUGGCUCUCCAUGCUGAGUUUGCUGGGAAUGGUAAUCUUGCCUGUUUUCCUAUCUGGCACACUUCACACACAUCAUCAUGCUCCACUGAAUUGGUGAAGUUCUCUGCCAGGCCUUCUUUGGCCAUUUGAGCCAUUGAUCUGAAGUUGGCAUGCCCGAGCCUUUGAUGCCAGAGCUUGGAAUCAUCUGUAGAGGCUGUGUAUGCUGACUUUGAGUCAUUUGACCAAUGGACCUCAAAGCAUUUAUCAAUCAUUGUGACUGUCAUAAGGCUUGAUCCACUUGGAUCAGCUAUGUGGCAGUGUUUAUCCUUGAACACAACAGAAUAGCCUUUCUCAAGCAGUUGAGCAAUGCUAAGGAGAUUUCUGUCAAUCUCAGGUACCAGCAGAACAUUUGAAAUGACUUUGUUGCCUGGAGGAGUACAUAUCAGCACUUCUCCUCUUCCUUCAGCUUUUAUAAACUGACCAUUUCCAACCUUAACCUUAGUUUUACAGCUUCUGUCCAAGGUUUUGAACAAAGAUGCAUCUGGUGACAUGUGGUUGGUGCAGCCACUGUCCAGUAGCCACCCUUUUGAGCAUUUCUUCUCAGCAGCUAAGUAAGAAACAGCAAAGACCUGCUCUUCUUGGUCAUUACUGUCCUCAGCUACUCGAGCUUCAACCUUUGGUUGUUGAAAUUGGCUCUGCCUUGGCUUGGUUUUGCUUUUGCAAACCCUCUCAACAUGGCCUUUCUUCUUGCAGUAUUGACAUACUGCAUCUGGCCUAAACCAGCAUCUAUCUUCUGGAUGUCCAGGUCUUUUACAAUAUCUGCAGGGCUGAUCAUUACUCCUUGCAGCAUCAGGCUUAGGCCUGCUUUUCCAAGGCUUUUUGCCUCUUGGAGCAUUGGUGCUCAAGGCCUCUCUUGUCUUGGCUUGAAAUGCACCUUCCUGGUGUUCUUCAGCUCUGCUAGCUCUCCUUUGUUCCUGAGCAUAGAAGGUGUUGAUAAGCUCAGUCAAAGAGAUGCUAGCAAGGUCUCUUGAGUCCUCUAAGGAGGAUAUCUUUGCCUCAUAUCUCUCAGGCAAAGUGGAGAGGACUUUCUCCACUAUUCUUGCCUCAUCAAAGUGCUCACCAAGGAGCCUUAUGUUGUUAACCACUGCCAUGAUUCUAUCUGCAUACUGCUUCACUGUUUCUUCUUCCCUCAUCUUCAGAUUCUCGAAAUCCCUUCUUAAAUUCAACAGCUGCUGUUGCCUUGUCCUUUCAGUGCCUUGAAACUCCUCCUUAAGCUUAUCCCAUGCCUGUUUUGGAGUCUCACAGGCCAUAAUUCUGGUGAAGAUGACAUCUGACACACAGUUUUGGAUGCAAGACAUGGCUUUGUGCCUUUUGGUCCUUUCAUCGGCAUGUUGCCUGAUCUGAGCUACUGUGGGAUUGGCCCUCAGUGGUGCUGGCUCAGCAUCUGUGUUGACAACUUCCCACAGAUCAAAGGCCUGCAGGUAAGUCUUCAUCUUUACCAGCCAUAUGUGGAAGCCUUCCCCAUUGAAGACUGGUGGGGCUGCUGGUGAAAAUCCUGAAGAAGCCAUCAGGUUCCUUGAUUUGAAGCAACGGGUCCACUAAGACAAAAGCUCUAGAUACCAAUUGUUGGUGCAAAGAGGUAGCAACAGACUGUUUUGGUCUUGCUUGGAUAGCAAGCCUCGAGCCUUGCUGAAGAAACAAACUCAGAAAACAAUGCAGAAAAUGAAACUAGCUAGUGAAGAACAAAAAAUAGAGAAAGAUUGAAUGAAAGUGAGCUGAUAUUUUUCAUUAACAUUCAAACAAGGCUUUAAGCCAUUACAUAUAUUAGUCAACAAGUAAAACAAACAAGUAAUCACCUAAUCAAUUACCUAACACCACUAAUUUGCAUUGAAACUUACAAGAUUAGCUUGUACAACUUGCAUUGCUGAUUUUUCAAUCAAUCAAUACCAAAACAUUUACCUACUUAGUUCAACAUGAACUAAAUUACAAAAUAAUCAAAAAACAACCAAAAUCACCAAGUGGAUCGGCAACAUUAAGCUUCAGUUCCUGCAGACCAAGGCUCGAAUGCCUGCAACGUAUUCUUCUGCAUGGCCACCUUUGCAUGGGAAGCUGGUUGCAUGGAAACUAACUUUAACACCUUUGAAGAUUUGUUAGCUUAUCAAUUCUAAAAGGAAUCCUUUCUAUUGAGUUCGCACCUCUGAUAUCAAGAUAAUGCAAGUUGACAAGAUUUUCCAUCUUUGAAGGUAACCUUUGAAGCUGCCGACACCGUCUCAAUAAUAAAGUUUCCAAAUGAUAAAGAGUGCACAAAGAAUCAGGUAGGCAUUCGAUAAGGGUGUUGGAAAAAUUUAAGUAGCGAAGAUGUUUUGAAUUUUCAAAAACAUCAGGCAACUCAGUGAUCCAAUACCCACUCAAAGAAAGCAUCCUUAAGUAGCCAAGUCUUGGUAACAAAUCAACCAAAACAAAAUUAGUUAAAAAAGGCAGCGGAUAAUCACUAGCAAACUUGAAGGGUAAAAAAGUACGUAAAGAAUUCACUUGAUCAAAUGCUUCAAACUUCUUCGCUGUGUCAUAUGUUCCAACAAUAUAAGAAGAAUGUCGAGUGCGAUUUGAGAACUUCCAUUUCUUAUCACCCUCUAAUUUUGAGCAUAUUUCCCCUGCAACUACUUGAGCUAAAUCAUUGAUAAGGUCAUGCAUUACGAAUCGGGACUUAUCUUUACUGGAUGUCAGAAAAAAUGACCUCGACACUAGAUCUUGAAAAUAUUGAUUUCCGAGAUCUUUAAUUUGAGGCAUAGCUUUUUGUUGCAAGAGACCUUCUGCUCUCCACAACAAGAUAAUUUCUUCUUCCUCAAAUGCAUAUUCUUUAGGAAGUAUGGAGCAAUAUGCAAAACAUCGUUUCAAGUAUGACGGAAGAUGAUGGUAGCUUAAUCGCAAAGCUGGAAUUAUGCCACACUGCUCUUCUGGUAAGUUCCAUAUCUCACUCUCAUAUAUUCUUUCCCAUUUUCCAGGAUACGUAACAGUGCGAAGCAAGCUUCCAAUGGCCUUUGCAGCCAAAGGUAAGCCAUUGCACCUUCUAACAAUUUUCUCUCCAAUUUCUUUAAACUGGAGAUAUCCAUCGAAAUUUCUUGCUUUUAAUGCAUGCUGUGCAAAUAUGGAUAAACAAUCAUCUUCCGGUAGUUUAUCCAAAUGAAAAGCUUUGAGCGGAUCCACAAUAGAUGAAACAAUUUGAAGACGAGUGGUUACAAUGAUAUGGGUCCCUGCUCCAAACGGAGACCGUAAGAUGGUCCAAUCAUUAUAAUUCUCGUUCCAAAUGUCAUCUAAAACAAGCAAGAAUCUUUUCCCAAACAACUUCUCCUUCAACUUAACUUGAAGUAAAUCCAAGUUACUGUAAUCACAUGACUCAGAAGUGAUGGACUGUAAAAUUGCCUUUGUUAUAGCAAUUGCAUCAAAAUUAUCAGAAACGCAUACCCAGGCCUUGUGGUGAAAACACUGGUUGAUGGUGGCAUCAUUGUAAACAAGCUGAGCAAGAGUUGUUUUACCCAUCCCUCCCAUGCCCACGAUGGAAAGGACUGAAACUCCAUUGGAGUUAUCACCUUUGAGAAACUCAAUCAUUUCUGUCUUCUCCUUGUGUCUGCCAACAUACUCCACAACUCCAUCCAGUACGGAAGUUGAUUGCAGCCUAGGUUGCUUUCCCUUGGAGGUUGGAGCUUGAGACAAGAUCUCACUCAACCCCAAACUACUUCUUCGAGUAGUCAAACUAUUCAGUCUAGCAGUGAUCUCUUUCACCUUCGGAAUCAUGGAAUUCUUAAACAGGAAAAAAGUGGGAGUGAAAUUACUACUGGUACAGCAGGUAGGAAUGAGUUUCCGUACCUUGCUAGUGCUGGCUUCAGCUUGCGAUUUCUUGAGCUUGAGACGUAACUCUUCAUAAGCGAACUCAUCCAAGAUGUCAUCCACAUCGUAUGCCAAGUCCUGGAGAUCCUCCAACCAUUUCUUCACGCCCUCGUUCUUGAUCUGCUUCUCCUCUGCAUCGUCCAACACUGCUUGGAUAUCGGGCAAUAUGGACUGCCACUGCUUGAGCUGUGGGCGGAGUUGCUUAUGAUCAGCAACGAAGUUGAGCGCAGAGUCGAGCAACUUGCCCCCCAACAGCUCCAGAAACACAGACAGAGCAGCCUCUCCAAUGACAGACAUGGUGAAAUUGUGAGAAGGAAGCAGAAGAGAGAAAUGAAGAAGCCAAAUGGAAGUUCAGGAACGGAGUGGAGAUUGUGUAUAAUCAGUGAAAGUUGAAAAAAUCAGAGGAGGAGGCAGUGAGCUGAUAGUCUGAUAAAUAAAAUAAAGCCCAAUUGGCUUUUUGGGCAGUGAAACGAAUAAAGAAGGCGGAAAAGACAAUGGCUGAGCCACCCACCCACAUUGUUUAUGAAUUUUGAUGCUUUUCUCUUGCUUUUCUCCAUUAUCCCAAUUUCCAAGUAAAUGAAUGUUCAGUUCCAUGGCAAUGGCAUCCAAUGCCCAUAUUUGUACUUUAAUUAACAGCCAAUAUAGCAAGCACAUGUCAGUCUUUGUUUUUGGGAAUGAAAAAAAAAAUUCAUCCCAUUUUUUUUAAAAUUUCCAAAAUUUCAUCCCUUUUUAAUUGAAUAUUUUCUUUUAUUUUGUUGGUGAAUUUUUUUAUUAGAAUUUAAAUAUAUCUUUUAAUGUUACAUUAUAAUAUUAUAUAUUUAAUUUUAUUUUAUAUAAAUUACAUUCUAUACAUAUAUGAUAAAGUAGAAAAUGAGUUGGACUUAGCCAUUUUAAUUUUAGAGUCCAAGCAUGGCUCAUUUUAAACAAGUUUAAUUUUUUUUGUCUAAACUUAUAUUUCAAGCCUCAUUCUUUUUAUCUAAACCCUUUUAUAUUUUAAGCUCAUUUAGAACGAGUCUAUCUACAAAAGAAAAGCUUGUGAAAAGCGCAUAAUUAAUAAUUAGAAAUUGUCACGCAUGUAAAAAUAUAAUAUAUUAUAUAUAAAUUUAAAUUUUAAAAAUAAUAUUUCGUAUAUAAAUUUUAUAUUUUUGAGAAAUAAUAAUAUUUUAAAAAAGAUGGAUAAAUUUUUUUCCUAAUAAUUAGAAAUUAGUGAAUAAUAAUGAGUAGUUUAGUUUUUGAAGGAAAAAGAAAGAAAUAGUUUUAAUUGAGAAAAUGAUUUUUUAAGAAGUUAGUUUAAGAGUAGUGAAAUAAUUUAUUUUAUUUUAUAAAAUGUUGAAAUGAUAUAAUCAUCUCUAUAUUUAACAAAAUAAUAACAUUAGUUUUUUCAUGCUUUUACCAAUUGAGUUUGUGUUGCUCGAUUUGAUGUACCAAAUUUAAUAAGACAUUUUAUCAUAGUAUAAAUAAUUAUCUUGUAAUUAUAUGUAUUCAAAUGAACUUAAUUUUUAAAUCCGUCACCAAUCUUUAUAUUUUUUCUCUCUUAUAAUUAUAUUUUUACAUAAUGUUUUUAUAAUAUAUGAUAUGAUCAUAAAUUAAACCCUUAAUUAUAGUUAUUAAGCUUUCAUUUUUUCCACUAAAGUCAAUAAAUUAAUUUUUUAUUGGGAAACAUUUUUAUAUUAGUUAAUCAUGAGAAAACAUUUUUAUGUGAAAGUGUGUUUAACUAAUUAUAUUAUAGAAAAGUAUAUUUGAUAAUAGGCUCAAUUUACAUGUUUAUUGUGCUUAAAUUUGACAAAUUCUUUAAUGAGAUAUCAUUAAUUUUAGGUUUAUUAUUUGAUUUUUGAUUAGGUGAAAAAGGCAAACUUAAAAAGUAAAAAAGAGUCGGAAAUGCAAGUUGUCGCAAAAGUUUUAGGCCAUGAUCUAUCUUUUUCUUCCUUUUGGUAUAAUAACGUGACUCAAACUCAAACUACACAUACGAUAGCAAUUCAAUUGCUUUCUUUUCUUCUCUAUUUCUAAUUCUGUUCUUUCUUUCUCUUGCACAAUAUUGUGCCGCCACGCCACCCUCCCCUUUUUUUUCCUUUCUUUUAUUUGUUUAUUUCUUUUAUUUAAUAUUUGUUGAACCCUUUAAACUAGUAUGCUUAAUUUCAUGAGUAAUUAAACUUCCCAUCUAGCUUUUAAGUCAAGAGUCAAUUUGGGAGAGAGUUGUACUAUUCGAAAUCGUACUUUAAAACUUUUAUUUCAGUAUUUGUUAUUUCUCUGAUUUAGGAGAUACAUAUUAUCGUCUCAUAAAGUUGUUUUGGCACCAAAUGAGUUCAUUGCUUUGGUUUAAUAAAGAAUCAAUACUAUUGAUUAUCGUAUUCGAUCUACCGAAAAAUAAUUUGGCGUGUCCAAUUAAGUGGUUGAUGUAAAUAGUACUUAAACAAAUAACUAGAUGGAUGGUGAGGAUGAGUAAAAACUUUUAAUAUCAUCCAUAUCUUUUAUAGGUGGUGUAGUACUCUGUAAUAUACACUUAAUGGUUUGUCCUAUAUGAGUGUGUAGGCGGGCCGCUUCUAUGAGAUCUUUGGCAAUUUUUAGAGCACUCAUAAAAACCAGGCACGCGCAUAACCUAUUAGCGCUCUAUAGUAAAUCAUGUCUCAUUUGUUAAAAAUUCUGGUUCACAGUCCAAAUGACAAUAUGAUUAUUGCAAUAUAUUGAAACACUCACUUAAAAUUAUAACUUAAAUCUUUGAAAUAUGUGGGAGAUUAUUGGAAGUUUUCAUGUAUUUCAAAGAACUACAAAAAUCUCACAUUGCUAAAAAAAGAUCUUGAGUCAUUAUUUAUAAGUCAUUAUACUUCUUUGAACUUAAUAAGUACCAAAUUGAGAGUAUAGACUCGUGCACAUUUGAGCCUUUUUGUUUUUGGACUUAUUUUUUAUUGAAGUUUUGAAAGUCAAAGAAAAGUGAACUUGUAACACUUAUAUUUAGUCACGCUAAAUAUAAUUUAAUCGAUUGAAGCUAUUUUUAAUUAAGUCCAAAUUCAUUGAACCUUUUUCAAACUAGUUUUAGCUAAUUCAAUCAACCUACCUUUGCUAUAUUAAGCCAAUCAAAUCCCUAUAAAUACCAUGCAUGGUAGUUUUAAAAGUUACCCAUUAGCUUUCAAGUUCUCAUCUAAAUUUCUUCUGUAUUCUCUUUAGAAAAACCUUCCUCCUACAAUCUCAAUUGAGUGUUUAAUUGGUCGGCUCUUUAGAAAAGCCUUCAAGGAUAAUGAUAUUCACGCCCCAAGUCGUGAUUCUAAUUUUCUAAACCUCCGAUUUCUUAAGAGAAAGUCAAGGGCAACAACCAGUCAAAUUUUAAGUUCAAUUAAAUGAAUUCACAAACUUAUAGAGUUUAUUGUUAUUAUUUUAAUUAGUAUCAAAAGUUUUCAAUUCAAGCUUGAAUUAUAAUCGAGCUUGAAUUAUAAGUCAAAUUUUAAUUUUGUUAUUCAAGCUUUAUCUCAAAUCAAGCUCAAGCUUUAAAAGUGAAAUUUGAUUGAGCUUGAGCUAAAUUUUGAGUAUCGAAUUUUAAGUUAACUCAAAAUUUUCAAGUUAAGCUUUGACUUGAUUACACGGUUAGUGUAAAUCGUACAAAUGUAAAGUAUAAUAUAAUUAUAUAAAUUUUGAUACUAUAAUAAUUUCAAUUUUAAAAUUUUAACACAACUAUGGUCUAAAAUGCUCCGUUAUCAAGAAGCUUAGAAAUUAGAAGAUGCAGAGGAAAACAGAGCAUUCAAUUUGCUAAAUAAAUGUUGCAGAGAAUUAAGCUAUAGCAAAUCAGUUGAAUAUAUACACGUUAGAGGUGCUCAUGGGCCGGGCCGGGCCCAUAAAAAAUUUCAGCCCGGAUCCUAGGCCCGGGCCCGGCCCGAAAUAUGGGCCUAAGAUUUUGCCUAGGCCCGGCCCGGGAAAAAAAUCAUAAGCCCGGGCCCGGCCCGGCCCAUUUUUAUUUUAAAAAUUUUAAAAAAUUAAAAAAAGUAUUUUAAAAUAUUUUUAAAAUAUUUUAAAAUUAAAAAAAUUAAAAAAUUAUUUUAAAAUUAUUUUAAAAUUAGUAAAAAUUAAAAAAAGUAUUUUAAAAAUAUUUUAAAAUUUAAAAAAAAUUAAAAAAGUAUGUAAAAAAUAUUUUAAAAUUAAAAAAAUAAAUAUAUUUAAUAUAUCGGGCCGGGCCGGGCCCGGGCCGAAAAAGUGGUGCCCGAGGCCCGGCCCGUUUUCUAAACGGGCCUCGUUUUUUUGCCCAAGCCCAUAUUUCGGGCCUAUAUUUUUACCCAAACCCUCCCAUAUUACGGCCCGCCCGGCCCAUGAGCACCUGUAAUACACGUACAUAUUUUUAUAAUUUAUUUAUAUAAAUAUAUACAUACUUAUAUAUUUUUUUAUAUUUUAUAAUUUUCAUAUACAUACAUACAUACAUACAUACAUACAUACAUACAUACAUACAUACAUACAUACAUAUCUUUUAGCAUUUUUUAUAAUUUUAUUCAUUUUCUUUAUUGUUAUUAUUAUUUAUUUAUUUAUUUAUUUACGUGUUCGUUAUUAUUUUAAAGGAACGUUUUAGUUCUAUUCGUUUAUUUACUUGUUAUUGUAUAUAUAAUUGAUUCAUCUUUUAUUUAUUUAUUUAUUUAUUUUUUGCUCGUAGUAUUUUUACUUGCAUUAUCAUAAUUGUUAUUACAUCACAUAUAAUUUUUUAUCCAAAUUCAAAAAGAAAAUUGUAAAUUAAGGCAACAUUUCACGUUUGGAAAUUCGAGAAAACGUGUUCGAACGUGCUGGAUUUCGAUUUCUCGUUUAACCAAAUAGCCAAAUAUCCUUGUAAAAUUUCAAAGUAUGGGUUUUGGAAACCAUAAGGUGAUCUUGGUUUCGAGGGUUUAAAGUAUCGUAUCCUAACGUGCUGGAUGUGAUAUUCUUUCGGAACAAGAGAAUCCUAAAUUUCAGCCCAUAUUAUUCGAAAAUUUUUAGGAUUGUAUUUUUAAAACUUUCAAAGUUUUCAAUCUUCGACACUAAGACACUAAUUAAUCAACUAGGUACCAAUUUUGGGCGUUGCGAGGGUGCUAAUCCCUCCUUGUACGUAACUGGCUCCCGAACUUGUUUUUUCUGAAUUUCGCAGACCAAAAGCAUUGUUUUAAUCAAUCCAAACUGUUUAUUAAAAACAAACGUUUUACUAGGUGACCCGAUCACACCUCAUCAAAAAAGAUUUGUGGUGACUCCUAUAUUCGUUUUCAUUUUCAAAAUCCAAGUCGACUCCGUCUUGUCAAAAAAAAUGGUGUCAACAAUUAGGUGCAAAAACAAACUUAGAAAGUAAAAAGGAGUUGAAAAUGCAAGUCGUUGUAAAAGUUUUGGGCCAUGAGCUUUUUUUUUUGGGUACAAUAACAUGACAAAACCCGAACAACAAACAUGACUAAUGUGACUCAAACCCAAAACACCUGGGACACUGAAUACCCUUGACCAUUAGGCCAUCAUAUAGGGUUCGAAAAAGAAAGAGAGUACUUUUAAUUUUUUAUUAGGAUAAUAUUUUAAUUUUCUAGUAUUUUAUUUUUUGAUAUAUUUUUAGAUAACAAUCUAAUAUUGGAUUAGAUUAAAGAAUUUAAGUAGGAUUAGGUAUAUUCUAAAAGGGACAGCAAUUCAAUUGCUUUCUUUUCUUCUCUGUUUCUAAUUCUGUUCUUUCUUUCUCUUGCACAAUAUUGUGCCGCCACGCCACCCUCCCUUUUUUUUUCCUUUCUUUUAUUUGUUUAUUUGUUGAACCCUUUAAACUAGUAUGCUUAAUUUCAUGAGUAAUUAAACUUCCCAUCUAGCUUUUAAGUCAAGAGUCAAUUUGGGAGAGAGUCGUACCAUUCGAAAUUGUACUUCAAAACCUUUAUUUCAGUAUUUGUUAUUUCUCUGGUUUAGGAGACCGUCUCAUAAAGUUUUUUUGGCACCAAAUGAGUUAAUUGCUUUGGUUUUAAUAAAGAAUUAAUACUAUCGAUUAUCAUAUUCAAUCUACCAAAAAACACAUUGGCGUGUCCAAUUAAGUGGUUGAUAUAAAUAGUACUUAAACAAAUAACUACAUGGAUGGUGAGGAUGAGUAAAAACUUUUAAUAUCAUCCAUAUCUUUUAUAGGUGGUGUAUUGCUCUGUAGUAUACACUUAAUGGGUUGGCCUGUAUGAGUGUGUAGUGGGGCCGCUUCUAUGAGAUCUUUGGUAAUCUUUAGAGUACUCAUAAAAACUAGACACGCGCAUGACCUAUUAGCACACAAUCGCAUUGAAGAAUGAAUCAUAAAUAUAAUGUGGUAAGUGAGAAAGUUAAUUUGGAAAUUAAAUAAUUAGUUCAAAAACUUAUUUCAUCAAUUAUUUAAGUAAAUCAUAUCUCAUUUGUUAAAAAUUUUGGUUCACAGUCCAAAUGACAAUAUGAUUAUUGCAGUAUAUUGAAACUCUCACUUAAAAUUAUAACUGAAAUCUUUGAAAUAUGUGGGAGAUUAUUGGAAGUUUUCAUGUAUUUCAAAGAACUGCAAAAAUCUCACAUUGCUAAAAAAAGAUCUUGUGUCAUUAUUUAUAAGUCAUUAUACUUCUCUGAACUUAAUAAGAACCAAAUUGAGAGAGUAGACUCGUCUACAUUCAAGCCUUUUUGUUUUUGGACUUAUAUUUUAUUGAAGUUUUGAGAGUCAAAGAAAAGCGAACUUGUAACACCUAUAUUUAGUCACGCUAAAUAUAAUUUAAUCGAUUGAAGCUAUAUUUAAUUAAGUCCAAAUUCAUUGAACCAUUUUCAAACUAGUUUUAGCUAAUUCAAUCAACUUACCUUUGCUAUAUUAAGCCAAUGAAAUCCCUAUAAGUACCAUGCAUGGCAGUUUUCAAAGUUCCUCAUUAGCUUUCACAUUCUCAUCUAAAUUUCUUCUGUAUUCUCUUCAGAAAAACCUUUCUCCUACAAUCUCAAUUGAGUGUUUUCAUUGGUCGGCUCUUUAGAAAAGCCUUCAAGGAUAAUGAUAUUCACGCCUCAAGGCAUGAUUCUAAGUUUCUAAACCUCCGAUUUCUUAAGAGAACGUCAAGGGCAACAACCAAUCAAAUUUUAAGUUCAAUUAAAUGAAUUCACAAACUUAUAGAGCUUAUUAUUAUUAUUUUAAUUAGUAUCAAAAGUUUUUAAUUCAAGCUUGAAUUAUAUGUCAAAUUUUAAUUUUGUUAUUCAAGAUUUAUCUCAAAUCAAGCUCAAGCUUUAAAAGUGAAAUUUGAUUGAGCUUGAGCUAAAUUUUGAGUAUCGAAUUUUAAGUUAGCUCAAAAUUUUCAAGUUAAGCUUUGACUUGAUUACACGGUUAGUGUAAAUCAUACAAAUGUAAAGUAUAAUAUAAUUAUAUAAAUUUUGAUACUAUAAUAAUUUCAAUUUUAAAAUUUUAACACAACUAUGGUCUAAAAUGUCCCGUUAUCAAGAAGCUUAGAAAUUAGAAGACGCAGAUGAAAACAGAGCAUUCAAUUUGCUAAAUAAAUGUUGCAGAGAAUUAAGCUAUAGCAAAUCAGUUGAAUAUAGCUUUCAGUGCCUGCAAAAUUAAAUACAAAAUAUAUACAAAAUGUUACUUUUUAGUUGAUGUUUUGUUGCUUAGUUAAAUUAGAACUAAGUUAGUAACAUACUUGAUAGAUUUGAUAAAUCAGCUUAACCAAGUGUGGAAGCAAAGUUUUUUAAGUUUCAAGACUUUGUUAGUGGAGGUAAUAUUUUCAUCUUUUGACAAGCUGAUUGCUUGAUAUAUGUAAUGGUUUUAGUUCUCAAUGAAUGAUGAUGAAUCUUUCAGCAAAUUCUUCUCCUUCUUUUGGUUUUUUAUCAAGCAUUCUGUUUAUAUAGCUUAAGCUUAGCUCCUUUGUUUGUUCAGCAAGAUAUCGAAGCUUAGUUUCAGCUAAAAUUUCUUAUUCUGUUUUCUAUGUUCCUACACAACUACAACCGUAUCAUAAUAUUUCAGCUAAUCUAUGCCUUGCACGAAAUCUUAAAAAACCUCCAAUGGCAGUCAAGGAAGAGUCCAACAUGGGAAGUUAAUAGAAUCUUCAGCUAAUCAUCAUUUUAUUCCAAAAGAAGUAACCUUUCACUUUCAGCAAUCAAUUAAUAAGCAUUUGCAUAUCAAAUUUAUAUUUUUAUUCUAUUAAAUAUUUUUUAAAAAGAAUUUCCAUGUCAUGCCUAUCUAUAUCGUGUUGUACUUGUAUUGUGUCUGAGCUUUUUUUUGGCCCUGUUUUUGAAGAAUCAUGUUGGUGCUUCCUAAUCUUUUAAGUAAUGGGUGGAGACAGAAAAAUAUAAGUGGAGUAGUAAAUUGGAAGAAGCCAUGUUAGCCGGACCAGUUUUUUUUUUUUUCUUUAUUCACUCAUAUUUUAACAUUUUGAAAAUAUUUCUUUAAUGGCUUGGAUUAUAUGGAAUUCAUUUUACAAGUAGUUGAGCUUUUUUUAAUGGGAAGCAACCAUGGUGGUUGGUUCCGCACCAUGGUUUCAGCUGUACCUGCCAGUGUCACUGUUCCAGUGAUACAGCACAACAAUAAGGAAUACCUCUUUUCCACAUCGGUGAAAAUUUCAGACUGUUCUGUUUACAUUGGCUCAUUUAAAACAAUUCAAGUUGCACCGGCCGAAACAUGAUGCAUCGGCUGUUACAUGAAUAAUUUAAAAAAUAUAAUUUUUUUAAUACCUAGCAAUAAUAAUUAACUAGAGACCAACAUUUGUUUUUUCAAUCUCGAAAUGUCAAAAACAAUACUAUAUACAAAACAUCCUUUUGUCAACUUAUAUUAAAAGCAUUAGAAAAAGAACUUACCACUCCAUUCCUUUGUCAACAUCUGUCGACCAACGAAGUUGUGCUGUUUGUUGUGCGUAUAAGCAGGUAUUCUCCUCUUUGGAUACCCACCAUUCAAGAUUUAUCACCCAAAGGUACGUACACCUCCCCAGUGGUACCAUUUUGCCUUUUAUCUGCCACCAAUUUCAUGGUUCCCAAAGCUGAAUGAAAGGACGAGGCUAAAUAAAUAACAUAUUUGACUCCUCAACCACAACUAUGCACCAAGCACCAAAAUAUGCUCCAACACAGGAAAGGAAUCGAUCUACUCCCUAUACUGCCAUUUUUUUAUCAUUUCACAAAAUAAAUAGCGAAAUGUCAAAUAUUUGAAGUAAUGGGUGGAGAUAUAGAAAAAUUGAAAUGGAGUCUUAACUUGGAAGAGGCCAUGUUGGCUGGACCUGUUUUUUUUUUUUUUUCUCCACUCAUAUUUUAACAUUUUACAAAUAUUUCUUUAAUGGCUUAGAUUAUAUGAAAUUUAUUUUACAAAGAGAUGAAUUUUUUUAAUGAGAAGCAACCAUGGUGAUCUGUUCCGCACCAUGGUUUCAGUCGUACCGAUCGGUGCCACCAUUUUAGUGCUAUAGCGCAUCCAGCAACACCCUCUUCCGUAUCGGUGAAAAAUUCAAUCUGUACCAUUCACAUUGGUUCGUUUCAGUCAAUUUCAACCACACUGAUUGAGACAUGGUGCACCAGCUGCUAUAUGAAUAAUAUUAAAAAAUGUAAAACUUUUAACUAAUUUUUAUUAGACUAAUGACUUAAUUUGAAUGUAUUGACCAAUAAAAAAUAUUACACUAAAAAGUAAAGUUUAACAUUUAAAUUUUGUUCUGGAACAUAUUUUUACAUUAAAAAUUUAAAAAUUAAAAUAUAAUAAAAAAAAUCCACUCACUUCAUUAUCAUAGAAAAAUCUUCGCCCAUCCUUCAACUUCUUUUAUUGAAAAAAAUCCCUUCUUUUUUCUUGUUAUUUUUUAAUUUAUUAAAUGAUGAGUUUUUUAUUUGUAGAGUUUAUUAAUCAAUAUUUUAUAUAAUUUAUGAAUAUUUUACAUUUGAAAUUUAUUCAGUAUCAUUUAUUUGGUAUUUGUUUAUUUAUUUAUAUAGAUAUAAAAUAUCGAUAAAUUCAAAACGAUAUAUCGAAAUAAACUGAUACCUGUUUAUACCAAUUCCGGUAGAAAAGUGGCGCAUCUACCAGUGUGGUGCAGACUACCUUGAAAGCAAUUAUGUGGCAGACUUGUUUGAAAGAAAAUGAGUAAAAGCGUGUUGAAAUAUUAUUUCGUGUGGCUGUAAUAUUUGAUGCUUUGUUUUCUUUUGAGUAUUUUGGUUUGAUGCUUUUGAUUUGUGUUGAUAUUUGAGUGUAAUCAUUGAGAUGUAUAUGGCUAUCUCAUUUUUUUUUAUGAUUUGUUUUGUAUUUACUGUAGUUGUUUUAUUAAUAAAAUUAUGUUUUGGAUUCAUAAAAAAAAAUUAAGAAAUUCAAAACACAAAAACGAAAGUAGAGAAAGUGAACACAAUGAUUUACGUGGUUCGGAAUAUUUCCUACAUCCACGGGCAAAACCAAAAAUGAAAUUCACUACUAAAAAAUGAAGAUUACAAUAGAAUUACAUAAUAAAAUAAAAUAACUCACCACAAUAACUAUCCACAAACUUUGAGCAAUCUUCUAAAUAAGCAUCAACUAUAAACUUUCCACAAACUGAAAAAUACCUGGCAAUAAUAAAUAACAAGUGGCCAACAAUCUCAAAAUGUCAAAAACAAUAAUUUAUUUAAAACAUCCUAACCUUUUAUCAAUCAUCAAUGGAGACCUAAGAUAGGUUGAUGAUUUGCGUAGAUAGAAAUAGAUGAUGCUAAAAGCAUUACAAAAAAAAAAAAAAACUUACCACUCCAUUCCUUUUGUCAACAUCUGUCGACCAACGAAGUUGUGCUGUUGUUGUGCCCAUAAGCAGGUAUUGCCCUCUUUGGAUGCCCACCAUUCCAGGGUUUAUCACCCAAAGGUAUGUACACCUCCUCAGUGGUACCUUUUGGCCUUUUAUCUGCCACCAAUUUCAUGGUUCCCAAAGCUGAAUGAAAGUAUAAGGCUAAAUAAGUAGCAUAUUUGGCUCCUCAACUACAACUUUGUACCAAGCACCAAAAUAUGAUCCAGCACAUAUUCUCCAUAUAACCUAUACUUGCCCUAUCAUAAACAUUGAUAACAUCACAGUUGAAGCCUUUCAAAGCAGGGGAAAUUCAUAUAAAGAUUGGUAGAAAAUAUGCCAAUCUACCGGACCGGAAAGCUGAAAAGCAACAUUAAAAGAGAGCUGCAAUAAAACUAGUUCCAAACUGCUGCAGUAUAUAUAUCAUUUGAUUCAUUUAACUCAUACCUCAAAGUCAAAAGCAAGAGAGUCGAUAUAUAGUGAGUCACUUAGUCACUGCUAUUUUUGGGAACACUGAGGCUGGAAGUGAAAACCCCAAAUUGCAGCUCAGUGAACUCUGUUGUGUUUAUGUUAAAUUGAGCUCUUUAAUGCCAUGUUGUAACGUGUACCGCAUCCCUCCAUUCAUCCUGCAAGGAUCAAUACCAUGUCUACAGUGAUGACGAAAUCUGUUGGCACUGAUAUCCUUAUGCAAUAACAGAAAUCUAUCUACAAAGAUCAACAAACUAUCACGUAAAAGACUUGUUCUUCUGAAACACCAUUGGUUAAUAGUACAACGAAAUCUCAAAUACUUUUAACUAAAAUCCCAUUCCCAUAUCCCAAUUUCAUAGCAACUGCUUAGAAAUUAGAAGAUGCAGAUGAAAACAGAACAUUCAAUUUGCUGAAUAAAUGAUGCAGAGAAUUGACUAACCGCUUUACAACAUCAAAUAAGCUGAAGCAAACCAGUUGAAGGUCUCCUCUAUUUUUCGCCAGUUUAGCCUUCAAUGCCUGCAAAAAAGUAAAUACAAAAUAUAUAACACCGAUUUCUAUUAUCGUGUUGUUCAUGAGGACAAUCAGAUAUAUAUAAAGAAAAGGUAUGAAAUUGAUAAAUGUUUAAAAUGCGUUUCGCACCUGUGGUUUGAGUGUGGAGAAAUCGAUGCUAGAUUUUGCUGCUUAAAUUUCAAUGUAAUUCCCUCGGGUUGACUAUUUCACCAUCAAUUUGAGCAAAAGGUAUGUGGGCAAUCUUGGACCACUCUCGUCCUUUACCCCUACUGCACCCUUUUUCUAGCAACGGGCAAUCAUGAAUUGAUAGACGCUCAAGCGAGAGAAGCAUAUCUUUUUCCGGAAGAGAUUUGAGCUUAGGACAAUCAUCGACUCGCAAUUUUUGAAGAGAGGUCAGGUAUUGAAAGCCCUUGGAGCACAUGAAUUCCAAAUUCUCAAAAUUGUCAAUGGAAAUAGAUGUGAGAGAAGGAGGCAGCGUCAUUCCUAUCCCUUCUUCUGGAAACGACACCACAUUUGAGCAUCCUUCACCGUUGAUUUUGAGUUUCUGAAGAGAGGUGAGUCUGUUAAAUCCCCAUUGAACAAGUGAUGUAUAAAUUUUGGGUGCGUUUGAGAUUGCAAGUGAUGUGAGGUUGGCAGGGAAACCCUCUUCUGGAAAGAAGUCAACCGAACAAUAAGACACCUUUAAUUCUCGAAGGGAGGUGAAGUUGUUGAUCCACUUGGGAAGGACUCCAAAAUUUUCACAAUCCUCAAUUGCGAAAACUCUGAGAUUUGUGGUGGGCAACCCACUUUCUUCAAAUGAAACCAGAUUUGGACACCAACAUAAUUGAAUCUCCUGAAGAUGGCUGAGCUUGUCCAAUCCCCGCGAUAAUGAUUUAAUUUUUCCAGCACCAUUAAUACGAAUGAUUUCGAGAUCAGUGGUUUCAAGGAAGUCUUGGGCUAUGCAUUCCAACACUGGACAAUCCCAAAUUAAUAGCUGUUUAAGCAUUACGGGUAACUUGGCGUUUAAAAAUAACCUACUUAGCUUUGAACAACGGUAAAUAUUAAGACGUUGAAGCCGAUUGCAUAUAUCGCCCCUUGAUGAUAACCAUAUUAGAGAUGGACAGCACCUUAUUUCCAAACGCUCAAGAAGACAAGUGUUGCUACUCAUACUCUUAUUAUUAUUUUCUUUUUCAUCAACCAAAUAUUGCAAAUUCCUGCAAUUCCGAAUCCACAGCUCUUUUAAAGCAGGCGGAAAGUUACUCUCUGCAAAACAAACCAAGCCUGGACAUUUUUGAAGUUGCAUUCUUGUAAUCAAUGGGAAAGCAUGUAAGGCUUCUGGUAGUCUGAGCCUUUCACAAUUAUAUAUUAGAAGAGAUUCAACACCUGGAAUCUUGUCAAGUUGCAAUCUCUCCUCUGUUUCCAAACAGACCAAUUGGGGACAACCCGCAAUCGUAAUAAAACGAUGCCCGACUAAUCUUAACCCAAUUUGCGAUAAAGAUCCCAGCUCCUUCCAACCAGAUAUCUUGAAUGUUUCGGAGUUUGCAAAUCUCAACAUUAUCCUCUCUGCUGAAAUAUUAAAAUUUGAAAUAUUUGAAACAAACACAUCUUUCAAGGAGGUAACCUUCUGUACAGACAAAGAACCUUCAUCCACCAAUUCUUCACACCCUUCAACCCAUAUUUUACGCAGCAAGGGAAAACAAGAAAUUGAAACUACCAGUCUCUUACACUCAUAGAUUUCAAGUGUCUGCAAGGAUUGAAGGAUGGUUGGCAACCUUCCCAACAAUAGAGGACAUCUUUUAAUUGAAAGCUUACGAAGGCUGGGAAAUUUCGAAACUUGCUCAUCGUCUUCACAUAGGUUCCACUCCUCCCAAUUCAGCAUAUUGUCAAAACACAGAGACUCUAGUGAUGCAAAAGCAUUUGAUUGAUUUUCUCCAAACAACUCAGCACCAAUCUUGUGUACUUGAUCCAAACCACUAAUUGAAAGAUCUUUUAACCACAACAACCUUCCAAUCGAUGGUAGAGAUUUGCAAUUUUUACAAUUGCGAAGCUCCAAUGACAACAUAUUUUCGAAGGAAGAAUCUGCAAUCCAAGUAGAGAAUUUCGCACCACCAUAAUUCUGAAUGACGAGUUGCUCAAGCUUUUUUGGAGGACGAAGAGAGUCCAACACCCAUUCUUCAACUUCUUUAUUCCUUGAAGCCUUUUCAAAUUUUUCACUCCAAUGCAAUACCAAUCGACGAAUUCCCCGCUUCUCAUUUAACUUGGUUUCCCCUGCAUCUUCACCAUUAACAUUCUCCAACCCAGAAAGACGGAAAUCACCUUUGAGGUUUGACAAAUAUUUCAAACCUCUAAUAUAACAACCAUCACCUUCCCCUAUUAUAAAAUCAGUUAACCUUUGAAGUUUCGUUAGCUUAUCAAUUCUAAAAGGAAUCCUUUCUAUUGAGUCCGCACCUCUGAUAUCAAGAUAAUGCAAGUUGACAAGAUUUCCCAUCUUUGAAGGUAACCUUUGAAGCCAGUAACACCCUCUUAAUAAUAAAGUUUCCAAAUGGUAAAGAGUGCACAAAGAAUCAGGUAAGCAUUUGAUAUGGGUGUUGGAAAAAUUUAAGUAGCGAAGAUGUUUUAAAUUUUCAAAAACAUCAGGCAACUCAGUGAUCCAAUACCCACUCAAAGAAAGCAUCCUUAAGUAGCCAAGUCUUGGUAGCAAAUCAACCAAAACAACAUUAGUUAAAAAAGGCCCCCGAUAAUCACUAGAAAACAUUAAGGGUAAAAAAGUACGUAAAGAAUUCACUUGAUCAAAUGCUUCAAACUUCUUCACUGUGUCAUAUGUUCCAGCAAUAUAAGAAGAAUGUCGAGUGCGAUUUGAGAACUUCCAUUUCUUAUCACCCUCUAAUUUUGAGCAUAUUUCCCCUGCAACUACUUGAGCUAAAUCAUUGAUUAGGUCAUGCAUUACGAAUCGGGACUUAUCUUUACUGGAUGUCUGAAAAAAUGACCUGGACACUAGAUCUUGAAAAUAUUGAUUUCCGAGAUCUUUAAUUUGAGGCAUAGCUUUUUGUUGCAAGAGACCUUCUGCUCCCCAUAACAAGAUAAUUUCUUCUUCCUCAAAUUCAUAACCUUUAGGAAGUAUGGAGCAAUAUGCAAAACAUCGUUUCAAGUAUGACGGAAGAUGAUGGUAGCUUAAUCGCAAAGCUGGAAUUAUGCCACACUGCUCUUCUGGUAAGUUCCAUAUCUCACUCUCGUAUAUUCUUUCCCAUCCUGCAUAGUCUUUAACUGUGCGUAGCAAGCUUCCGAUGGCUUUUGCAGCCAAAGGUAAGCCACUGCACCUUCUAACAAUUUUCUCCCCAAUUUCUUUAAACUGGAGAUCUCUAUCGAAAUUUCUUUCUUUUAAUGCAUGCUGUGUAAAUAUGGAUAAACAAUCAUCAUCCGAGAGUUUAUCCAAAUGAAAAGCUUUGAGCGGAUCCACAAUAGAUGAAACAAUUUGAAGACGAGUGGUUACAAUGAUAUGGGUCCCUGCUCCAAACGGAGACCGUAAGAUGGUCCAAUCAUUAUAAUUCUCGUUCCAAAUGUCAUCUAAAACAAGCAAGAAUCUUUUCCCAGACAACUUCUCCUUCAACUUAACUUGAAGUAAAUUCAAGUCAUUCUCGUCACGAGAGUCAGGAUCGAUGGAUUUUAAAAUUGUCCUGGUUAUAUUAACUGCGUUAAAUUUAUCAGAAACGCAUACCCAGGCCUUGUGGUGAAAAGACUGGUUGAUGGUGGCAUCAUUGUAAACAAGCUGAGCAAGAGUUGUUUUACCCAUCCCUCCCAUGCCGACGAUGGAAAGGACUGAAACUCCGUUGGAGUUAUCACCUUUGAGAAACUCAAUCAUUUCUGUCUUCUCCUUGUGUCUGCCAACAUAAUCCACAACUCCAUCCAGUACGGAAGUUGGUUGCAGCCUAGGUUGCUUUCCCUUGGGGGUUGGAGCUUGAGACAAGAUCUCACUCAACCCCAAACUACUUCUUCGAGUAGUCAAACUAUUCAGUCUAGCAGUGAUCUCUUUCACCUUUGGAAUCAUGGAAUUCUGAAACAGGAAAGAAGUGGGAGGGAAAAUACUACGAAUAAUCCUUUCAGGAAUGAAUUUCCGUAUCUUACUAGGUCUGGCUUGAGCUUGAGUGUCUUGGAGAUUGAGGCGUAACUCUUCAUAAGCGAACUCGUCCAAGAUGUCAUCCACAUCGUAUGCCAAGUCCUGGAGAUCCUCCAACCAUUUCUUCACACCCAUGUUCUUGAUCUGCUUCCCCUCUGCAUCGUCCAACACUGCUUGGAUAUCAGGCAAUAUGGACUGCCACUGCUUGAGCUGCUGGUGGAGUUGGUAGUGAUCAGCAACAAAGUUGAGUGCAGAGUCAAGCGAUUUGCCCACCAACAGGUCCAGGAACCCAGAAAGAGCAGCCUCUCCAAUGACAGACAUGGUGGAAUUGUGAGAAAUAAGGGGACAAGAGAAAUGAGCAAAGCCAAAAUGGAAAGUCAGGGAACAAAAAAGAAAGAAAGGGAAAUGGAAUCUGCAAAAUUAGAGAAAGUUGAAGAAAUUGGCACAGUAUCCUUGAAGCAUGUCAUUUAAUAAUUCAGACUCUGAAGCAAUGAGUUGGAAGUCUUUUCGUGUUAAUGGGGAAGGAAAAAUGGAAAUGAUGGGACCUUUGCAUUUGAAUUUUGAUGCUCUUCUUUUCUCUUGCUUUUGGUCAUUAUCCUAAAUAUGUAAUUUAAUUAAACAUCAAAAUAUUAUAUUUCUCACAACUAUAUCGCCAAAAUAUAGCAAACACCAAGACCAUAUUUGGUUCGCUGUAAUAGAAUAGAGGCGUAAUGGAAUAGAGACGUAAUAGGUAAUUCUUUUGUUUGGUUGAGUGGAAUGGAAUAGAGGCAUAAUGGUAUUCUUGUGUUUGGUUGAAUGGAAUAGAGGUGUAAUAGCAUAAGGAAAAAAGCUAAAAUGACUAGAAUACCCUUAACAGAAUUUUUGUAAGUAAAUGAUUAUUGUUAUUGUUAUUAAAUUUUAAUAAGAUUAUUAAUAUAAAUAAUAAAUAAUUUAAUCAUAUUUUAACAUGGUUGUUAUUAAAUAUAAUUUAAUAAAAAUAUAUAAUUUAAUAAAAUUGUUAAUAAAUAUUCUUAUAUGAAUUUACUAAAAUCAUAAUAUAUAAUAUUAUAAAAUAUAAUUUAAAAUAAUUAUUAGUAAAUAUCAUUUAAUAAUAAUAUAUAAUUUAAUAAAAUUCUUAUUUUUAUAUGAAUUUACUAAAAUCAUAAUAUAUAAUACUAUAAAAUAUAAUUUAAAAUAAUUAUUAGUAAAUAUAAUUUAAUAAUAAUAUAUAAUUUAAUAAAAUUCUUAUUCUUAUAUGAAUUUAUUAAAAUCAUAAUAUAUAAUACUAUAAAAUAUAAUUUAAAUAAUUAUUAUUAAAUAUAAUUUAUAAUCUACUUUAUUAUUUUUAAACUGCAAUACAUAUUUAAUGUGGUAAAAUAUCAUUUGUGGAACAAAUAAUUUAAUUAUUCUACAAUAAAAAAAUAUUAGCAGUAAUAAAUAACUUUAGAAUUAUAUUUUGCAUAAACAUAAUUUUCACAUAUUAACAAACUGUUAAAUGAAAUUCAUGAAAUUCUAUAUCACAAUCCAUAUGUUAUACAGUUUUGCCACAUCAAAAAGUUAAAACAUUGUAAUAACAUAUCAUCCCAAAUAUUACAAACAGAAAAAGUUACGAAAAUGUCAUCAACAAAACCAUAAUUUUUAAUGGUCAGCAAGAAUUCUUCUGACCCAUUCCAACCGUACAUUCAGAAGGUAAACUAAAGAAAACGAGCAUUUGAGUUGGAUGAUCUGUAAUUUUACUCAAUGCUCGAAACCGCUCAUCCACAGUUAAACCUUCUAUUUCACAUAAGGUUGGAUAUAAAUUUGUAGCUUUUUCUUGGAUGGUAUGGAAUUCUUCUGACCUUUGUUGAACUACCACAUCAGAGGCAAUACUCCUACUGAUUUGUUCGCCAAUGGCCCGCAUGUUAUCAGUCAAUAAAGUGGCAGCUUCAUUAACUGAAGAAGAAAAAUGACCACUUGCAUCAGAAUUAUUUUUUUUCCUCUUUGAAGAUGAAGAACCCCUUUGGUUUCUAUCUGGUUGCGGCUCCGUAGCAGAAACAUCCAUGUCCUCCAAAGAGACAUUAUCAUCGCAGUCAUAGUAUUCGUUUCUUUCUUCAUUAAUAUCUGCAGUAGGUACAUCCUUAGCAUUUAUUUCUUCAAGAACGUCAGCGGCUGUUUGAGCGUCUUUCCCAGUCGCUCGAUCUUUUGCGUAUAUGGCAGUCAGUUGGUCGUAGUAAGGGAAACUACGAUGUCUGAACUGACCGGCUUCUUUAUGACUCUAUAAAAAAGAGGAAAUCAUAUUAGUUAUAAGUUUGGUAAAAAUAAGAUAAUAAAGACUUGAACUCAUUCUUACCUUUAAAUAAGAGUCCCAAACCGCAUCCUCAGCAACAACGACCUGCCUAUGGUCGUCCCAACCAAAACCGCUAUUGUUUUGGCCAUUAAACAUGUCAUACACGAUUGACCAAUCCCUUUUUAGUAACCUAAUCCUUGACUCGAUAUUAGGUCUAGCCUUCAACAUUGCAUUAGGUAAAGUCUUUUCUAACAUUUUUUCCAACUCGUUUAAGUAACCGGCUUUGAACCCCGUAUCAGUGUUAAAUGUUCCAACAUUGUGCAAGUCCACCAUGCAGGAAACCAAUGCUGCAGCUUCUUCUGAAACCCAUUUUCUUUUGGUUCCUCGAGAUGAUUGGGAAGGAACAUUUGAUUCUGAAACACCUGACAUAAUUAUCUUAAGAAAAAAAAUUAAAAUUAAGUUUAAUAUCAUGAAUCAAAAGGUGAACACUUUAUAAAAUUAAAAUUGAGUUCAAUAUCAUGAAUCAAAAACUCAACACUGUAUAAAAUUAUAACACAUGAUGAAUGAAAAGAAAUCAAACUAUAAUUCAACAAGUUUAGUACAAUACAAAAAACACAAAAACACCACCAAAGUUCCAUCCUCCAUAAAUCUAACUAAUUUCUAGAUGCUUGCCAUUCAUCAAACAUUUGGUUGGCUAGUUCCAUCUCCAAGUAGCCCAAGCAUCCGAUGGAUGAAUAUUGACGAUAUGAGGUUUAUCGUCAUCUACCACAUCACUAGGUAAUCCUUCUCCCACCUCCGCUUCAAUAGGAUCAAUACUCAUAUAGGUUCGAAUAAAAUUAUGGAGCAAACAACAUGCAUUAAUGAUUCUAUUGUGCACCCUUACAGGAUAGAAUGAUGGACUCCUAAGUAUUCCCCAUCUAAGUUUUAAUAACCCAAAGCAUCUUUCAAUAACAUUACGUGCUGAGGCAUGUUUCAUAUUAAAAAAUUCUUGCAGAGUACUUGGCUGAUAACCCUGACGCCACUCAUUCAAAUGAUAUCAUUGUCCUCUAAAAGGUGCAAGAAAUCCCUCACAAUUUGUGUAUCCAGCAUCAACUAGAUAAUAACAACCUAUUAAAAAAAUUUAAAAAUGAUUAAUUCCCCAAAAAAAAUUGAUCUUAAUGAAUAAUUCAAAGUCCUCUAACUAUCCACUUUACCAUGAGGAACUUUUAGUCCAUGUCUCCUACUAAUGGCAUCUCGAAGAACUCGCCCAUCAGCAACAGAACCUUCCCAACCAGGAAGAACAUAAACAAAUUGUAUUUUAGGUGUACAAACACCUAGAACAUUUGUUGCUAUGUCACCUUUUCGCGUUCGAUAUCUAGGUUUAUCAACCCUUGGAACCCUAAUCUUGAUGUGGGUUCCAUCAAGAGAACCUAAGCAAUUCUAUAUGACAUGUUAUAAAACCUUGAGUUAGGAUACUAAAUUUAAAUCUAAAUCAACUAAAUUAUGUACAAGCUAUAUAUAAAACUCAGUCCAAUACCUUAAACCAUUUCCACCUUCUGUCUGAAGAAUUAGCUGUAAUUGGCUCCGCUUUUUAAAUAACACAUCUUGUAAGCGUAUGACAGCAUUUAAAACACUAUGAAAUGAUCUGCUAACAGUUUCCCCGGACCUAUUGAAGUGAUGCUUGAUAACUCGAUUUUUAAGGUGAUAGGAAAUGAUAUGUAAAAACAUUGCUACUUGCUCAUCAACAAGCAUGUGCCUUGACGACUUCAAUCCCCCUAACGUUUGUAAUAUCUCACAUAGUUUGAAAAAGGAAAAUCUAUUCAUCCUAACUUGUUCAAUACAGGUCUCAUCACUAGCAUAUACAAGCCUUUUCACAUAAUCCCGUUGUGCAUAAAAAUCUAAAAUAUAGGACCUAAUCAUUGGUCUAUAAGUAUGUAGGCUAUUGAUGGCACCCAAUGUAAGUAAAAACCAACUCGCAAUUUUACAUAUUUCCAACCAUAUUGUCAAUGCAAUUCCAAUUCUUUUACGCCUCACACUUUGUGCAAUUAAAGGCAGACGAGCCAUUACUGCAAGAUAUUAAUGUGUUCCAUAUUGUCAAAUCGUAGUAAAAUGGUCACAUUUCUCCAAUCAUAAUUUCAAUAACAGUAAACUAAAAUUAAAUAAUUUAAUUGCCAAAGAACUUACAGUGAUUGUGUGAAAAGAAGACGCUGAAUUGUAGGUGGAGGAAGCAAUCAAACAAGCCGCUUCAAUAGGAAGCAAUAUCACACUAUCAAAGAAAAAUGAACAAUACUAGUUUAAAAUCUUAACCGUAUUUUUUGACAACAAUGUUACAAAUUUAACAUUAACAAACCACAUUUUUCUUUAAAGAAUUUUUAGAAGCACUUUCAAUCAUAAUAACAAUGAAUACUUGUUUUCUUUAAACAAUUUUUACAAGCACUUUCAAUCAUAAUAACAAUGAAUAUUUGUUUUUUAAUCAAGUUGUUUACUUGAUUAUAUCUAAUGAUCAAAUUUUAAUAUAUCCAAUAAUUGUUUUUUAAUCAAGUUGUUUACUUGAUUAUAUCUAAUGAUCCAAUUUUAAUAUGUUAUAAAUAUUUGUUUUUUAAUCAAGUUGUUUACUUGAUUAUAUCUAAUGAUCCAAUUUUUAUUUUAUUUUAUUUACUCAUGAUUGGAUUAGGUUUAAUUUAUAAUGGUUGAAAAGUCGAUAUAUAUGUAAUAUUAUUAAAAUAAUAUUUUUAAUUUUGUUGGAUAUAAAAAUAUUUUUAAUUAAUGCGUUGUAUAUGAAUAUACACAUUUAAUUAAUGUGUUGUAUAUGAAUAUACAUUAGUGCAAGAAAUCCUAUAAUUUCGUACAGGUCUCGUAAUUGCUCGAUUAAAAUUUUCGAACUACCUCAACUUAAGAAAUUCGAUCCCAAAUUCAAAUUUUUCAAUACCAAUAAAAAUCAACUUAUUACAUCACCACUUGCAAAAUAUAAUUAUAAAAACAUUACUAUGGAGUAAGCCAUAAAAAAAAACAGUCCAAUUUACUGGAAUUGCAACUAUAAAAAACCUCUUGAAUUGCAACUAUAAAAUACCUCUUGAAUUGCAACUAGAGCUUCAGCUUGCCAACGAUUUAUGUCUGGAGCAAAUCGGUAGCUAACAGUCCAAUACGUACAAAAGUUCACAUAGAACAUCAAUUUAUUGGAACAACAGUGGUCAGAUACACCAGGCGCAAGAAAUUUAACAAGGGUGCUAAUAUACAAAAGAAUUUACACUUCUAAGCAUUAGAAAUCAAAUUAAAAUCAACUAGUAUUAAAAUAAUUAUCACAAUAUUUGUAAAAUUUAUAAUUAUAACAAGUGGCAAAUUAUUAUUUUGUCAAUUAAAGGAGCACAAUCCUUAACUGUCAGCCUCCUGGUCACUAAAGGAACACCAAGGUACCUAAUAGGCAGCCUUCCCAUGUUAAUCCCAAUAAUUCUAAGAAUAUCCUCCAUUUCCUCUCAAGAAUCCCAGAAGCAAAAAUUUCAGUCUUUGCAGGGUUAGGCUUUAAACUAGAAAAACAAAUUUAGCAUCACAUCAGGUAAGUGCUUUGUAAGUCAUUUAACCAAAAUCCUAGUGAUACACUCACAAAAAAGCAGAGCAGUAUGAGAUUGGCCGAAACUUCCUCAUAUGACCAGGAUUUUUAACCUUGGGAACUAAUACAAUUGUGGUUGUAUUAAAAGCAGGCAACAACUUAGAGUAAUUAAAAAAACAACACUGCUCUAAUCACAUCAGCGCCUACGAUAUGCCAUGCAACUUUGAAAAAAUCCCAGGCCAAUGUUUGCAUAGUUGGGUGUUGUGAAGGUUCCGGCAAUGCGGUUAGAUGCAAAACUCCACAUGCUGAUAGGAUGAACACAGAUGAUUACAUAGACAACAUCAUUCUUGUAGCAGACACAGAACCUAAAUAAUUACAACAUGUCAUAUAAAAUAGCGCAGUUACCAAAAGGCAACCUAGGCACUUGAGGUAGACAUACUUCAGGAAGCAUUUCCAUGUUUGGUAUGCAGCUAAUGUUUGUUUACCAAUCUAGCAGUCCAUUUUGAAUUAACCCUACCAUUAAUACACAUGUAUAUUACACACUAAAAGUCAAAAGGAGAAGAGUAAUAAGAUUUCCUCAUGUAUAUAUUACACACUAAAACCAUGUCGGAUAUAUGCUUAUAUCAAAGCACUCACACAAAGUAACAUAGAAGAAGGUUACUUGACAUAAAUAGAAUGUCCUAAAAACCCUCUGAUUGAUGCAAACUUACCUCUUUUCAACUUUCAAGGUAUUGACACUAGGUUUAUGAAAAUUUCCCUUGACAGACGAUUUGAUUUCAAUUUCAACAUAUUCCAAGCCAAGACAAGCUAAAAUAAGUUAUCAUACAAUUUCGUUUCAUAUCAAUGUUAUAAAUAAAUACCCUAUCCUUAAGAAUGACAAAGCAUCUUAAAUCAGAAAAUUUCAUUCUAAAACUGCUAUUGAUAAUUUAUAUAUAAAAGAGCCAAAAUCACCUAGAAGUUGAAUCACUAGUAGAUAUAAGGAAGAAAAUGAAAGUACCUAGAAAAGAAAGCACAAACAUAAAUCCCAGAAAGAAACAAAAAUUGAAACGAAAAGAAAAGGUAAACAAUUCGGAAACAAACCAGCAAUGAACUGAAACAAAACUUAACCAAUUAGAGGGUAUGAUCUUUACAAUUAAAAGCAUCUUACAGAGCAUCGGGAAGAAGAAGACGAAGAGUUCUCCUUGUCUCUUUUCUAUACGCUUUUAACUGUAUUUUCCCCGACUCUGGGAUUUUUUUGAUUUGUCUGCUGAAAUUGAAAAAAAAGGAUCAAGAAUCAAGCAUGUUGGUCAUGGGAACAAAUUUAAUAACACUAAUCUAUUUGAGAGAAUUGUUAAAACCCCUUACAUUCCAAAAAAGGAUUAACUAAAUCUUCUUCCAGUUCACAUUGAACAAUCUGUUCCAAUUCACAUUCAUCAUUCAAUAUCUCAAACCUAUUUUCAGAACCAGAAAUAACAGCUUUCCCUUUACCCUUCGAAGAUUUCCUCUUAACCAUACUUGAAGCACUCCCCUGUAACUCAUUCGCAGCCAUUACAACUUCUAAUUUUUUAUCAAAUGAAUUAAAGUUUCAUUUUAGGAAUAUAUUAAAUCUUUGAUCACGAAAAUUGGGAUUCAUGAUUCAAUUCAACUAGUUUAAGCCCUAGUUUUCAGAAACCUUAGAUGCCAAUUUUUAACGAUAGUUACAUGAUUCAACUAAUUUGAUGAAUCAAGUCUUACUAAAACCUCAUUUUAAAGGUGAAUGCAUGAUUCAAUUUCUAGAAAUGUUGAAUCUUUCAUCAUAGACAUAAAAGGGAAAACACGUUGAAAGAAAAAUGUUAGGGCAGACAAUGUUUACCUUGAUUGAAUUGGAAAGGUUUUCUUGAGGGUUUCUUUGGAGAUACUUGUUGGGAUUUGAAGAACAGAAGUCUAUUUUUGGACUUCCCUACUCACUGCAUUUGAAGAACAGAAUGGUGCGUUUGGUUCGACAAAACAAUCAAAUGAAAGUGAACCGGGAGCGGUGGAGGUCACUUUGCUGGCAGCUUCUAUUUGAUGUUGGGAGGGAGAGUUCUGGAGGUGGAUUUUGGCUUGGGAAGAUGAGGGUAAAACAGGGCAUAGAAAUUCUAAGAAUGCUAAACGGAAGCUAAACUGAACUUUGGGCAGGGAAUAGAAAUUGGUGAGUAAGGAGGAAUACGUACGCAAUGUAAUAGGCGCGUAAUGGGCAUUAGAGCGAACCAAAUGCUGGAAUAAGUGGGGCCCACCGAUUCGGCGCGUAAUGGUAUACCCAUUACGUCGAACCAAACAAAGUGCAAUACUCAAAAUUUUUGAAUCACAAAUAUUUACAGUAUUUAGCAUAUAGAAAACAAAAUUCUGAAAUUAAAUAAUAAUUUUUAUGAUUUUACAAUUUUAAUAGUUUAUAUCUUUAUAAAAUUUAAAAGAUUAAAUUAGAUUUUUAUCAUAUUUAAGGGAGUAAAGUGUAAUUUUAUAUUUAUUAAUUUAAAAUUUUAAAAUAUUUAAAGAGCUUAAAUGAAAAAUUUUUUAUUUUAGAGGACCAUGCCAACCCCUAGCUACGCCCGAGAUUGAUUGUAGCUAUAUUGUUAAUUGAUUUACUAUUUUACUAUUUAUACUAUUAUUUAAGCUUAUGACUAGUUGAUGUCACGAGUUAAUCAAGUACCAACUUGGUUAAAGAAAAUAUGAAAAUGUCACUCUAGUCUUUUUAUUAUAAAAAAAUAAAAAUAUGUGCAUAUAAUGGGAUUUUGAACCCAUAUCAAUUACAUUAAUAAAAUUAUUAAUUUACCACUCAACUAAAACUUUAAUAUUUUUAUACAUUUUUAUUUUAUUGUGCACACUUUAUUGUUAAUUAAUUUCAAACAUUAUGCUUUAAUUAUUUAUUGUAUGUUAUAUUCAAACGCACACUUAUAUUCUAAAUAUAUGAUUCCCAAACAUACGUGUGUGAUAAGUAUACUAAUUGUAACCUAUCUUACUAAUUGUUGUACUAAUUUAUGAUUUGCUUUCUUACUAGCUAGAUCUGUUAGCCAAACUCAAAUUACCUUCCUUUUAGAUCAAUUAAUUGACUUAAACCUAACUCAAUUACAUUUCUUUCUAGAGUGAUUAACCAAAAUAAUCGACCGAACCAAUUAAACGAGAUUGUUUCUAUUAUUAUAUUUAUGAAAUCAUGAUCGUUUAGUUAUUGGUAUUUUUUGUUGGGGUUAGGUUAAUUUAAUUUUCAAUAUUUCUAAACUAAAAUUUACAUCUAGAUUUGAUGAUGAUUGCUUGUCCACAGUUCAUGGGUUUCAAUUAUACCAACCUAUUCAAUCUUCUUUUUUCCCUAAUGCAUGUGAGAUCUCUUUUUCUUUUCCUUAGCAAAGUAUUUAGGGUCUCUCUUUUUUGGUCAAAGUAAUCUUUAAAUUUAAUAAAAUAAUUUAAAAACCCUAAUCACUUCUCCAUAAUUGAUGGAACUUACAAGUAUAAUUAACAAAAAAAAAAUACUGUUAUAAAUAAUUUAUGUCUCACCAAUUAUAACUAUAGAAUCAACUUAGUAUAGAAUACAAAAAGACUAAAAUCUAAUUAAAUACAAACAAAUAACAUUAAGAGUGAAAUAUAGGAAAGAACCCACACAUGAUAUUUACGUAUUAUGAAACUCAAACUUGGGCUCUCGAGUCCCAACAAAUCUCAUUGGCUCAUAAGCAAAUAUUUUAAUGUAUAACUAAAUUCAUUACUGAAUCAGUACUCUAGAAAUUAGUUAUUCUUAAGUUGAAAGAUUUGUAUGUAUAACAAAUUUAUAUAGUUUUAGAGAAGAAGAUGGAAGAUGGCCAAAUAGAAAGGACCAUUGGAAGGAUGAUAGUGAAGUUCCAGUUCCUACUCAGUUUCUGGUAUUAAAGAUGAUGGACAAUGUGGAAGGGAAACUAUUGAACAGGUCAUAUUGAAGAAAUAGUAGGGUGAUUAUAACCAAAGUGUAUUAAGGGUCGGACCUUGGCUUUUGAAUUUUGAUGAAAUCUCUCUGCCAUUUCUGAAAUUCCAAUUUUCCUUUAAGGAAAACGAUGACGACGAUGCCAAUCUAAUUCCCAUUCAAUUAAACCCUGAUCUCGAUCACAAUGCCAUCUACUGCCCAUAUAUCAAGUUAUUAUUUCCAUUCACUUUAAAGCCUGUUGUAGUUUUGGUUCAAUUUAAUAUUGCCAUUAAACAUCAUGAUUAAUUGACACAAUAUAGCAACCACACACAUGUCCUACUUUCUUUUGGGGUUGAAAACAUCACUGUAAAUGCAAAAGGAGAGAAGGUGAAGCCUUUCAAAUUCUCCACAUGCGAAAUGGUGCUGACAUGUCAGAUGGGCUGAUGUGGCAUACUAUGUUAGAAAAAUUAUAAAAAUAUUUUAAAAUUAAUAAAACAUAUAUAUACAUUUAGAAUAAAUCUGGACAAUGGUUAUCCAAAUUCAAAUGAAUUUGGACAAAACAAAUAUAGCCUUUAUACCAAAGCAAUUAGUUUUAUAUUAGAGGUAUUAGAGUUUAGGUUCUAUUUUGUUAAUCUACUUAUACAUGUUAUCUAAUAUGUUAAUUUUGUCUCAAAUUCAAAAAUAAUUGGUGCUCAAAAUGAUUCAAACCUAAGAUGACAUAAGUUUGAGAUGACCCUAUUUGAAAAACUUAAAUGGUGGUAAUCCAAAAUGGCUCAAACAUGAAACAACUUAAACCCAAAAUUGACCCGAACCAUAAUGACUCUCUAUUUAUAGCAGUAACAGAAAGGCAAAAUAGUAAAUAUGAAAGGGAAAAAGAGUAAAAAUCGUAGGGUUACCAUUUCCGUGCAAUAGUAAAAAAUAUAUUUUGUUGCCAAAAUUUUCGCAACCGUCAAAAAUCGAAAAAUGUUUUAAAGAAAUUAUUUUUUGAAAAAUAAUAUUGAUUAAAAUUAGAGAUAAAUUAUGGAUGAAAAUAUUGAAUUAUUUCAAAUGAUGAAGAGCAACUUUAAUAAUGUAGAGGGACUGGGUCGGUGUACCGAGGAUGAUACUUCGAAGGCUACUCUCAGAAGAGUCGAUCUGUAGCUCAAGUGGUACCAUAUACCUCAACAAUUGACCUAUAUUCAAUAGGUUAAGGGUUCGAAUCUCAUCAAGGGUGAGACUCUCAUGUCGCCUCUUAGUGGUGAUUGCAAGUCCACAUACGGUCAAGGCACCCCUUUUUGUGAGUAGUACAUGGCUCUCCACGGAGUGGGGGACAAAACCCUCUCACAGGGGAUAAUACCUUCUGUUGUUGAGACACUGGAUCGGCAUCCUCAAAGACGGCACUUCAAAAACUUCUCUCGAAUAAGCCGUCCCCAUUAACAAAUAAAUAAUUACUCUACACAACCGUAUUCUAUCUUUUAAAAUUAUUAUUUUGUCCCUUAAGAUAUCCAUUAAUCUUUUUAUGUAUUUCUAAUAUACAUGCUAUAUAUAUAGUAAAAUGAUAUAUAUAUAUAAUCUACACUAAAUAUGAGAAGAUUAUAAAUAUAAUAAUCUAUAAUUACUAAUGAAAAUUUUGGUUUGUACCGUUCACAUUGGCCGAAACAUGGUACACCUACUACUGCUGCAUUAAUAAUGUUAAAAAAUAUAAAUAUUUUAACUAUUUUCUAUUAGACUAAAUAUUUAAUUGAAAUGUAUUGACCAAUAAAAAAAAUAUUACACUAGAAAGUAAAAUUUAACAUUUAAAAUUUUUUUUGGAGCAUACUUUUUCAUGUAAAAUAUAAAAAUUAAAAUAUAAUAGAAAAAAACCCACUCACCUCAUUAUCAUACAGCUUUUCUUAUUGAAAAAACCCCCCACAUCCUUCAAUUUCUUUUUUUCUUCUUAAUUUUGAAUUUUUUGAAUGAUGAGUUUUGUAUUUACUGUGGUUGUUUUAUUAAUAAAAUUAUGUUUUGGAUUGAGAAAAAAAAUUAAGAAAUUCAAAACACAAAAACGAAAGUAGAGAAAGUGAACACAAUAAUUUAUGUGAUUCGGAAUAUUUCCUACAUCCACGGAUAGAACCAAAAAUAAAAUUCACUACUAAAAAAUGGAGAUUACAAAGGAAUUACAUAAUAAAAUAAAAUAACUCACCACAAUAACUAUCCACAAACUUUGAGCAAUCUUCUAAAUAAGCAUCAACUAUACACUUUCCACAAAUUGAAAAAUACUGGCAAUAAUAAAUAACAAGUGACCAACAAUCUCAAAAUGUCAAAAACAAUACUUUAUUUCAAACAUCCUAACCUCUUAUCAAUCAUCAAUGGAGGCCUAAGAUAAGUUGAUUUGUGUAGAUAGAAAUAGAUGAUGCUAAAAGCAUUACAAAAAAAAAAACUUACCACUCCAUUCCUUUUGUCAACAUCUGUUGACCAACGACGUUGUGCUGUUGUUGUGCCCAUAAGCAGGUAUUGCCCUCUUUGGAUGCCCACCAUUCAAGGGUUUAACACCCAAAGAUACGUACACCUCCCCAGUGGUACCAUUUGGCCUUUUAUCUGCCACCAAUUUCAUGGUUCCCAAAGUUGAAAGAAAGUACAAGGCUAAAUAAAUAGCAUAUUUGGCUCCUCAACUACAACUUUGUACCAAGCACCAAAAUAUGAUCCAACACCGGAAAGGAAUGUCAGAAGAACAAAUUCUCCAUAUAACCUAUACUUGCCCUAUCAAAAACAUUAAUAACAUCACAGUUGAAGCCCUUCAAAGCAGGGGAAAUUCAUAUAAAGAUUGGUAGAAAAUAUGCCAAUCUACUGGACCGAAAAGCUGAAAAACAACAUUAAAAGAGAGUGGAUAUAUAUCAUUUGAUUCAUUUAACUCAUACCUCAAAGUCAAAAGCAAGAGAGUCGAUAUAUAGUGAGUCACUUAGUCACUGCUAUUUUUGGGAACACUCAGGCUGGAAGUGAAAACCCCAAAUUGCAGCUCAGUGAACUCUGUUGUGUUUAUGUUAAAUUGAGCUCUCUAAUGCCAUGUUGUAACGUGUACUGUAUCCCUCCAUUCAUCCUGAAAGGAUCAAUACCAUGUCUACAGUGAUGACGAAAUCUGUUGGCACUGAUAUCCUUAUGCAAUAACAGAAAUCUAUCCACAAAGAUCAACAAACUAUCACGUAAAAGACUUGUUCUUCUGAAACACCAUUGGUUAAUAGUACAAUGAAAUCUCAAAUAUUUUUAACUAAAAUCCCAUUCCCAUAUACCAAUUUCAUAGCAACUGCUUAGAAAUUAGAAGAUGCAGAUGAAAACAGAACAUUCAAUUUGCAGAAUAAAUGUUGCAGAGAUUUGACUAACCGCUUUACUAAAUCAAAUAAGCUGAAGCAGACCAGUUGAAGGUCUCCUCUAUGUUUCGCCAGUUUAGCCUUCAAUGCCUGCAAAAAGUAAAUACAAAAUAUAUAACACCGAUUUCUAUUAUCGUGUUGUUGAUGAGGACAGUCAGAUAUAUAUAAAGAAAAGGUAAUGAAAUUGAUAAAUGUUUAAAAUGCGUUUCGCACCUAUGGUUUGAGUGUGGAGAAAUCGAUGCUAGAUUUUGCUGCUUAAAUUUCAAUAUAAUUCCCUCGGGUUGACUAUUUCACCAUCAAUUCGAACAUAAGGUAUGUGGGCAAUCUUGGACCACUCUCGUCCUUUACCCCUACUGCACCCUUUUUCUAGCAACGGGCAAUCAUAAAUAGAUAGAGGCUCAAGCGAGAGAAGCAUAUCUUUUUCCGAAAGAGAUGUGAGCUUAGGACAAUCAUCGAUUCGCAAUUUUUGAAGAGAGGUCAGGUAUUGAAAGCCCUUGGAGCACAUGAAUUCCAAAUUCUCAAAAUUUUUAAUGGAAAUAGAUGUGAGAGAAGGAGGCAGCGUCAUUCCUAUCCCUUCUUCUGGAAACGACACCACAUUUGAGCAUCCUUCACCGCUGAUGUUGAGUUGCUGAAGAGAGGUGAGUCUGUUAAAUCCCCAUUGAACAAGUGAUGUAUAAAUUUUGGGUGCGUUUGAGAUUGCAAGUGAUGUGAGGUUGGCAGGGAAACCCUCUUCUGGAAAGGAUAUGUCAGCCGAACAAUAAGACACCUUUAAUUCUCGAAGGGAGGUGAAGUUGUUGAUGCACUUGGGAAGGACUCCAAAAUUUUCACAAUUCUUAAUUGCGAAAACUCUGAGAUUUGUGGUGGGCAACCCACUUUCUUCAAAUGAAACCAGAUUUGGACACAAUUUUAAUCGAAUCUCUUGAAGAUGGCUGAGCUUGUCUAAUCCCCGCGGUAAUGAUUUAAAUUUUCCAGCACCCGAAAUACGAAUGCUUUCGAGAUCAGUGGUUUCAAGGAAGUCUUGGGAUAUGCAUUCCAACACUGGACAAUCCCGAAUAAAUAGCUUUUUAAGCAUUACGGGUAACUUGGCGUUUAAAAAUAACCUACUUAGCUUUGAACACUCCAUAAUUUGGAGAUGUUGAAGCCGAUUGCAUAUAUCGCCCCUUGAUGAUAACCAUAUUAGAGAUGGACAGUAGGUUAUUUGCAAGCGCUCAAGAAGACAAGUGUUGCUACUCAUACUCAUACUCUUAUUAUUAUUUUCUUUUUCAUCAACCAAAUAUUGCAAAUUCUCGCAAUUCCCAAUCCACAGCUCUUUUAAAGCAGGAGGAAAGUUACUCUCUGCAAAAGAAACCAAGCGUGGACAGCUUUCAAGUUGCAUGGUUGUAAUGAAUGGGAAAGCAUGUAAGGCUUCUGGUAGUCUAUUGAGCCUUUCACAAUUAUUUAUUACCAGAGAUUCAACACCCGGAAUCUUAUCAAGUUGCAAUCUCUCCUCUCUGUUUCCAAAGAGACCAAUUGCGGACAAUUCUCAAUCGUGAUGAAACGAUGCCCGCCUAAUCUUAACCCAAUUUCCGAUAAAGAUCCCAACUCUUUCCAACCAGGGAUGUAGAAUGUUUCGGAGUUUGCAAAUCUCAACAUUAUCCUCUCUGCUGAAAUAUUAACAUUUGAAAUAUUUGACAAACACAUCUUUCAAGGAGGUAACCUUCUGUACAGACAAAGAACCUUCAUCCACCAAUUCUUCACACCCUCCAACCGAUAAUUCACACAGCAAGGGAAAACUUGAAAUUGAAACUACCAGUCUCUUACACUCGUAGAUUUCAAUUGUCUGCAAGGAUUGAAGGAUGGUUGGCAACCUUCCCAGCAAUAGAGGACAUUCUCUGACUGAAAGAAAACGAAGGCUGGGGAAUUUCGAUACUUGCUCAUCAUCUUCACAUAGGUCCCACUCCUCCCAAUUCAGCAUAUUGUCAAAACGCAGAGACUCUAAUGAUGCAAAAGCAUUUGAUUGAUUUUCUCCAAACAGCUCAGCACCAAUCUU
This 38154-nucleotide long non-coding RNA is filed under the name Gossypium raimondii (Peruvian cotton). RNAcentral's name for it is "long non-coding RNA (GRAI_LNC005993)". The record is from RNAcentral. Lineage: Eukaryota; Viridiplantae; Streptophyta; Magnoliopsida; Malvales; Malvaceae.